This is a long non-coding RNA of Teleopsis dalmanni, 847 nucleotides long. RefSeq lists it as uncharacterized. The record is from RefSeq and is a predicted model, not a curated record. The transcript has 6 exons. NCBI's taxonomy places the organism in Eukaryota, Metazoa, Arthropoda, Insecta, Diptera, Diopsidae.
UUUCAUAUAUUUAAAGCUAGUGUGUGUUUCACUUUUUGUGCUUAAAAAUUAAUAAAUAAGAUUUGGUUGUGGUAUUGUUUUUGUGUACGGGAAAAAGUCCUUCUACAAUAUAUCAUAUAUUCCUGAUACAUUUUUAACUGGAAAGGUAUCUAGCUUUGUAAGAUUAUAACUAUUUUGAAUUUCAAUAAACUUAUCGGAGACUAUUGUUUGGACUAUUUUUGAAGAGCAUCUGAUUCACUGUUGCUGUUGUGUUCUGGAUAUAUUUCGAUCUUAAUUCAUGUCUUUACUUGCUGGCCGAAAAGAUAAUUUUCGCAAAUAAACAAAGGAAUCUACUCUAAGGAAUUGUUGUCUUCUUCUUCGAGCAAUCCAUUUAACACUCGAAGAUAUCUCAAUAUUUUGAAAGUCGGGAAUUGAUUUCUCCAAAGAACUUACAUUACUUCGAUUGGUGUAAACUGUGCAAGAAAAUGGUUAUACUAAAGCAAAAGAUUCAAAUAACUCCAGGCUUCUCUAAUUUUUUACGGGAAUAUACUAAGAAGCAAAUGCAUAAUACUCGCAACUCUCUUAUUAUGACUGCAGUCAACAAAUGGUGUUAUUUAAGUGCUGGAAAGAAAAACUAUUAUCGUUAUAUGAAAUUGAAGCCCAAACAUUCCAACAAGCAAAAACGUUCUGCUGUUAAGAAGCGAAAGGUCUUCACAGUUAGAAACAAAGCUUAUGGCUCCAAAAAACCAAAAACCACUGGACAGGUUACAAAUGCUGCUUACUUUAAUUAUCUACGGCACUUUCUCCGUGUUAAUGGUGGCAUAGAAUCGAAGGAGUUGAUAAAAAGGGCUGCAAAAAAUUGGUGCAA